GAGCCACCCUACCUGUGCAGGCCUCAGUCCAGCAUGAGAACAAAGGGAAGAUCCAAUCACCCUGCAGAGAAGCCCAGCUACAAGUCCUUUCUCUGCCUUAACACAGUUAUGGUGGCUGUAUAGUUAGGUUUGCUUCUGAUCAGAGCUAGGUAUCAUAUGAUCUUGCAAACGUAAUUAAGAAACAGACUCCUUAAUCAGAAGUCUGUUUUACCUUUUCUCUCCAUGUUUGUUUUUAGUUAAGGUAUGUAUGCUAGUUGCUCAGUCGUGUCCGACUCUUUGUGAUCCCAUGGACUAUAGCCCUCCAGACUCCUCUGUCCAUGGAAUUCUCCAGGCAAGAAUACUGGAGUGGGUAGCCAUCCCCUUCACCAACAGAAUCUUCCUGACCCAGGGAUCGAACCCAGGUCUCCUGCACUGCAGUCGGAUUCUUUACUAUCUGAGCCAUAUCAAGAACACAACUAAGGAGUCUGCUCAUCUGGGCUGAAUUCUACUGACAUCUCUUACCAGCUGUGUAACCACAGGUGAAGGAUUGCACCUCUGUGCCUCAGUCUUCUCUGCAAAAUGGCUCCUCUGUCCAUGGGAUUCUCCAGGCAAGAAUACUGGAGUGGGUAGCCAUUCCCUUCUCCAAAGGAUCUUCCCAACCCAGCAAUUGAACCCAGGUCUCCUACAUUGCCGGCAGAUUCUUUACCACUGAGCUACCACGGAAGCCCCAGUUAAAAGGAUCCUUUUUGAGCAUCCACUGAUUCUACAGGGCAUCCUUGACAAGCAGACACCGUGGUCCCUCCCCUAGGAUUGCUAUGACAGCCCUCUACACGCUGUGGUGGCGGGCAGCUGAAAAAUUGGACAGGGUGGCUGAGUCUCUGAAAGGU
Long non-coding RNA from Bos taurus (domestic cattle), 866 nucleotides. The record is from Ensembl. Lineage: Eukaryota; Metazoa; Chordata; Mammalia; Artiodactyla; Bovidae.